UUCCUAGGUUCCCCAUGCAGUCCCCUGUGAGCCUGCAGUAUUUUCCUUAUAUGAUCAGCCCCCCUUGGGUGGCACUGCUCACCUGGAGCCUGACAGUAUUAUAACACGUGACAGUCAAAGUAAGGCCAGGGGCCCCGGGG
This 140-nucleotide small nucleolar RNA is filed under the name Castor canadensis (American beaver). Its description in RNAcentral is "small Cajal body-specific RNA 17 (ENSCCNG00000028896.1)". It matches the Rfam family "small Cajal body-specific RNA 17". Rfam says of the family: scaRNAs are a specific class of small nuclear RNAs which localise to the Cajal bodies and guide the modification of RNA polymerase II transcribed spliceosomal RNAs U1, U2, U4, U5 and U12. The complete human U12-22/U4-8 scaRNA is composed of two tandem C/D box domains (termed U12-22 and U4-8). Lineage: Eukaryota; Metazoa; Chordata; Mammalia; Rodentia; Castoridae. The record is from Rfam by way of RNAcentral.